GAAAAGUCUCCACUCAAUCUCAAAUCUCUCCUACCCUAACCCUCAAAGGUUCAAUUUGUGUGUUCAAGCUGAGUCUGCUUCUAGUCUAAAUCUUCUACGGUAUUUUUGGUGGCCGGCUAAAAUUGAAGUAUGACGCCGUGUUUAACCACGUGGGUUUUAAAAGAAGAGUGAAACGUUCACUAGUGGAGAUGGUUUUAGGAAUUGUAUCCUUAAAAUGGAGGAACGUGAGAGAGUCAAGUGACGUGUUUUUUCUCUGGACUCUGAGUCUCCAUUCGGCAAUCAUCUUCAUUCUUCACCAAAAGAAUUUUCUCUAUUCCCUAUACCACGAUUCAUAUUUGCCGUUAAUCUCUCGUCGAAAAUCUGAAGUACUCGUUCAUUUUUUCGUCAAUCUUUUUUCGAGACUCGAAUUCAAGCUAAGUUUUAAAAGUGGCCAACCAGGCUAUCGACUUGAACGUGCGGAUUGAGGAAGCACGGGUAAAACUUUCGCCAGAGAAGUUAAAGGCAGAGACAUAUUCCUGUUGUCUGUUGAGGUAAUUUUGACUUCAUCUCUUUCCUGUAUAGCAGUUUUUAGAAGUUGAAUAAUUGAUUUAAUUGCUUCAUGAUUCACAUAUUCCUUAUUGGAUCCUCUAAAUUAUUUUAAAGUAUUGGAUCCUGUAAAUUGUCAGAUGUGUUUAUUCUGUUUAUUUAUCUGAUUUCUUCUUAUUAACUAAUUGCUACUAUGCAAAAAAGUACAGAAUAAUGCACUGAUCAAUGAUCAUAAGUAAUAUUCUUUGUGCCUAAAUACUUAUUUAUCAUUUACGGGAUCCAAUACUUUUAUUUUAAUGUAAAUUUAAAUCUUAGAGUUGGUGGAAGAUCUUAAGUUUUUAUACUUAUUGGGUUUGGUUUAUUCUAUAGGACUUGAUCAAUUGUUUUCUUUUUGAUAUCAAUUGAAUCUCAAUUCUCUAGUAACUAAUAUCUAUAUGAAGUGAUAAUUUUACCCAAAUCCUUUAUCUUUUAUCAAAAACUACAAUCAUAUAGAUAGUAUCCUCCACUAAAAUGAAUUCCAAUGGAUAUAUAGUUAUCUCUUGGGAAGCUUAUUUUUCUUAAUUUAUUUAUAGUAAAAUAAAGUUAAGUUGACAUGUAUGCAUAAAAAUAUUUAUCUUGUUGUUAUAAGGCUGUUUGUUCAUACAAAUGUAACUAUUUGUAUAUAUCCUCUGUAGGACGAAGUUGGUUUUGCAAAAUUAGUUAAUCAAUUGAUUAACAAGUCAAUUGUUUUUCCUUUCUGGUAUGGUCUAUUGACUAUGGCAGGCUGUGAGGGAACUAUAUGAGAUUGUUCCAACUCAUAAAUGGAAAGACGGAGAAAACAGAAUCAACAAAAUAGUUUUUAUAGGUAUGCAUUCGUAAUUGCUUAUGCGAUUUCCAAAUUUUAGAUGAAUGACAAACUUUAGAUAGGUGUUUUCUUGUUUGUAGGUGGAUUGUUAAAUGAAGAGCUAUCAACCUGGUCAUAUGAUAAAAAAGGAAAGAGUAAACUAUUAUAUUGGUUGUAAUCUUAUUUUUUCCCUCUUUCUCGAGUUUAAGCAAUCAUGGAUAUUAAAAUUUAAAAAAAAAAAAUUAUAUUGGUUGUUCUUAUUCACUUUUAUCCAAAAUCGAAAACAUUUUGCUUAUAAAAUUGUGCAAUUAGUUUAUCUUAAUUUACAUUUGAUCAGGUCUUUGUUUUAUUUUUUAUUUUUUUGAUUUUCUUGGUUGUGAAAGUUCUUGUUAUCAUAUUCUGAUUUCUCACUGCUUGCCUGUGGAUUUUGUUUAUGUAUAACGUAACGUAACAUUGUGACAAGGAAGAUGCUUUUUGAUGGGAAGCUAGGCAUUGCUGGUGGGCAGGAGACUCGCAAGGACUUUGAUUUGUUUGUGAUUGGAGCUAGCGGUGGUGAAGUUUGUUCCUCACAAUUUCCUAGUCUAGAACUCAUUUUGUUUGUGAUGGGUUGUAACAACUAAAUAUUGGUUGCUAAUGUUGCAUCUUUUCCGACCAAAAAUUGGUAGUUAGAUAUUGAUUAAUUUUUUACUAUCGUCUUACCGACCAUCAUUUGGUCCCAAGAGAAUACUUAUUAACCAACUUUUUACCUCAAAUCGAGC
This 2106-nucleotide long non-coding RNA is filed under the name Olea europaea subsp. europaea. The record is from RNAcentral. Lineage: Eukaryota; Viridiplantae; Streptophyta; Magnoliopsida; Lamiales; Oleaceae.